This 3240-nucleotide long non-coding RNA is filed under the name Sus scrofa (pig). RNAcentral's name for it is "lncRNA (ENSSSCG00060020210.1)". The record is from RNAcentral. Lineage: Eukaryota; Metazoa; Chordata; Mammalia; Artiodactyla; Suidae.
AUUGGAGACUGAUCUGUACUUAUUCAUGCAACAAGCAUCAUAAAAUACUGAUAAUCAUAACAGAUUACAUUUAGUAAUCACCUGUCAUACUGGGGACAGGGCUAAAAACACCUCUGUGUGUUAACUUAAUCCUCACAAAACUGAGAGGUCGAGGUGUUCUAUUGUCCUCACUUUAGAAAGAGAUGAAAUGACUUGAAAGGUCAAAUUAUACCAAUUGCGUUCUCAGUUAAGGCUGAAUUAAAUGAGAGAUAGUAGGAAACAAGAAGAAAUAAAUGAAAACAUCAGUGUUAUUACUGAUGACACCAGAAUGGAAGACGGAGCUUAGAUUUGUGCUAAACAACUGCUCUCCCCACCCUUAGGCCUCAGAUCAGCUCCCUUGUAGGCUAGUCUGAAUUUGUGGAGCAGCUGCAUUGACCCAGGCUGCUGCCUGCCACUGGUCUCUCAGGGCUUUGGUCCUGUAUCUUUGGUUCUAUAUGAUGGGUUCUGACAACUUUGAAAAGGUCUAUUGACUUUUGGUUGCAAAAGGUGAGUUGAUAAAGUGAGGCUGAAUUCCUCGGAGAGAGGCUCCAAAAUGAUCAUUUCAAGAGAAACUAGCCCUUGGCAGGCAGGGCUGGGCUGGGAGUCAGGGCACUGACAGCAACUGCCAGGUGUUCUGAGUGGACUUCAGGAGCAUCCAGGCGUGGAGGCUCCCCAUGCAGACCGGGCCUGCUGUCUGUGAAUCUGCAUUUUCUUCUUCUUUUUUUUUUUUUUUUUUUUUUUUUUUUGGGGGGCGGGUUUAAGGCUGCUCCUGCAGCAUAUGGAAGUUCCCAGCCCAGGGCUCCACAGUUUCGGGCCUACACCAUAGCCACAGCAACACCAGAUCCGAGCCCUGUCUGCAACCUACACCACAGUUCAUGGCAAUUCUGGAUCUGUAACCCACUGAGUGAGGCCAGGGAUCGAACCCUCUUCCUCAAGGACACUAGUCUGGUUCCUUACUGCUGGGCCACAAUGGGAACUCCCUGAAUCUGCAUUUUACCAUGACUCCCCAGGAGGCGUGCAUGCACAUCAAAGUUUGGGCAACACUGCUGGAGCCGUACCCAAGAGCUGCCUUGUACAUAAAGGAAAAGCUUGUUUUUCUCCUGGUUGCCCUCUGCUCUCGGGAAGCCCUGAUUAAUAUUCUCCUCCCUGCAGAGGUCUUCCUGCUCCAAAGGCUGCCACCCGGCACUUCCUUGGAUCAUUCAUUAUAUCAACAAUUUGCCUGUUAUUUGGGAGCAGGGAAAAAAGCCUUCUCAAAACAUGCCCUGAAGCUCAUGGGGCAUAUGUGAUAACUUACUCAAGCCAACCUGAUACUUAUUUCAUUUCCCUGCAUAGUCCACUCCAAAGAGUUUUUAAAAAGCAAUUUUCUGAAACCUUUGGAUAGGCCAUUUGUUUCGUUAUAAGACUUUCUUCCCAGAGGGAUUUGUGAUUAUAACUGGAGUGAGAAAACUCUGUUAUUAGACAUAAUAUUUGGUCCUAGAAACCUCUAGAGAGCUUGGGUGGAGGCGGGGGGGCGUGCUAGAAAGGACAGGGGAGCUUGGGGAGAACAAGGGCUCUUGCUGUAUCCAUGAUUCCCGUGUUUCCUUUUUGUCGGAGGCAGAAAAAUCCAAGGGAAAAUAAAGGUUCUGGAAGGUGCUGCUGCUUCUAGAACUGUGAUGUCCAAUAUGGACACUAGCUACGUAUAGCUGUUAAAGUAACCAUUUUCAUACAUUUAUAAACAAAGCUAAAAUUGUAGUUCCCGUCAUGGUGUGGCGGAAACGAUUCCGACUAGAAACCAUGAGGUUGCAGGGAUCUAACCCGCAACCUCAUAGUUGCUAGUCAGAUUCAUUAACCACUGAGCCCUCAGUCUGUCUCCUCUCUGCUUCUCUCUCUGUCUCUGUGUGUUUCUCUCUCCCUUCAUCUCUAGGCACCUCUGGUCCACAAACACCAGAUCCCCUGGUCCGUCCUCACCCCUGACACCCACACCAGCAGGAUGAGCCUCCACUCUGGAAGUGACCAGUUGGUGGUGGGAGGUGGGAAAAGGGAGGCGUUGGGGAGGAACUUCCUGGGAAGCAGGAUCAAGCUGUGUCCUCAGAGCCAGAAGUCCUGGGUUUGAGUCCUGCCUCUGUUAUUUUUAGGCUGUGUGACUUAGGGCAAAUUACUUGAUGUCUCUGAACUAACUUUUCUGUGUGAAAUGCAGCCAGGCCUUCUCUCCUGAAGGACUGUCUCCAGGUCAGGUUGGUGUGGUUGGUGAGCUGCCGAGCACCCACACCCGCAAAGCUUUUCUACCUCGCGUGCCCCCCUCACCCCCGUCCCCCAGUUCUGCCCUGGGUUCUUCAUGCCUUCUUGACUGGAGCUCACGGAGAAAACCUAGAGAGAGCUUCACAUCAGGUUCGGAGCCACAGCUUGGUCUGUGGGGGAGGAGGGGCUGGCAGGGGAGGCUGGGCGCCUGGUGGCUUGACUCAUAUGUCCUUGGCAUUGGUUUCCAUCUGAGUGAGUGGAUGUGCUGAUUAGUUGUACUUGGUGAACCAGAAGCACAACCAAAAUAUGUUGCUCUGUGGGAUUUAAAAAAAUUAACAGAGCCGUGUGGUGAUGAGUGUGGAAACACAUUUCAGUUUGAGUUUUCAACCAUUAACACGUAUGUUCUGAAAGCCAGUCUAGGAAAAUGUGCUUCUGUCAACUGUACAGUUAGCUGGGUAUUGUCUGCCCCACUUUGUGCCGAGGUGGGGGCCACGUGAGGGUGGCACCUGUUAUCCCCUGAAUGGGAAGAGCUCUGGAUUCGUGAGGCUCUGCCACGAAGGAGCUGUGUGACCUUGGGCAAGUUACCUGCCUUCUCUGAACUUGAGUCUCUCACCUUUAGAGUGGGAAACUCCUUUAAAGGGGGUCUUGUAAAGAUUAAAUGUUCGGUAUUCAGGACCUCGCCCUAUACACAACAGCCUCCCAGUCAAUGGGAGGUUUUACUAUCACUUCAUACGGUCAGGAACAGGAAACAGAACCAAACCACUGUUACUUUGGGGUUUUCUGUUACAGCUGAACUAAAUUCCGGCUAAUGCACUUGCUUUAUAAAUAAAUUCCCCACAUCUCUUAGGAAAGAAAUCCAAAGUUACAAGCCCCAAACUUCCUACACAUGGCCUAGCCUCUAAGCCUGUUUGUAUUUUCCCCCCCAAACUACCACUCAAUGAACAUUUUCAGCACUUUUACACAGUUUUCAAAGCCCAAAUAAAAAAAGCUAUGUGUGGAAAAAAA